GAUGAACGCUGGCGGCGUGCUUAACACAUGCAAGUCGAACGAUGAAGCUCAGCUUGCUGGGUGGAUUAGUGGCGAACGGGUGAGUAACACGUGAGUAACCUGCCCUUAACUCUGGGAUAAGCCUGGGAAACUAGGUCUAAUACCGGAUAGGAGCGUCCACCGCAUGGUGGGUGUUGGAAAGAUUUAUCGGUUUUGGAUGGACUCGCGGCCUAUCAGCUUGUUGGUGAGGUAAUGGCUCACCAAGGCGACGACGGGUAGCCGGCCUGAGAGGGUGACCGGCCACACUGGGACUGAGACACGGCCCAGACUCCUACGGGAGGCAGCAGUGGGGAAUAUUGCACAAUGGGCGAAAGCCUGAUGCAGCGACGCCGCGUGAGGGAUGACGGCCUUCGGGUUGUAAACCUCUUUCAGUAGGGAAGAAGCGAAAGUGACGGUACCUGCAGAAGAAACACCGGCUAGCUACGU
RNAcentral lists this ribosomal RNA (465 nucleotides) under uncultured bacterium. RNAcentral describes it as "partial 16S ribosomal RNA". It matches the Rfam family "Bacterial small subunit ribosomal RNA", at positions 28 to 506 of the family's 1533-position model. The record is from RNAcentral.